AAUAAAUGACGAGAAAUGUAAAUUUUAUUUUAUUUUAUUUUAUUUUAUAUUUAUACAAAUUUCACCUCGGGGUCCUUGGAGUUAUUCCAAAUGAAAUUAUCAUUAUUUUUUAGAAAAUCCAAUGAAAAUGACGAUCAUUCACGCCCACCUUCACCCUCCGCCAAUAGCUCUCCCCCGAUUCCUCUAAAACACCUAUCAACAUCAUCUCCAACAGCAAAAAAUCAUAAUGUGCAACAGGGAGAUCUGUUUGAACUCAACCCUGAACUCAGCAAAUUCCUCGGAAGACAUUUACGACUCCAAUCACGAUUUUCUAUCGCACGUGGGCCACUGCAAGCACAAGGUCGUGGGUUUGGUCCGUCAGCAGAUGCAGAGGGUCUCCCACGAACUUGAACGUCCAGCCGAACGUAAAGUACAAAUACCCGGGCCACGAUCCCGAGAUGCAUUAUUCACCCCCCGAAGAAAUUAGGGAUGCCUCCAUUGAGAAGGAUAGUCAGACACGGAAAGUAGCGAAGGCCAAUGUGAGGGACAACGAAACUUUAACUUCUCCGAGGCUCGAACCCUCGAUUCUUCCAAAUUUUCUACUCACGAGACCUAAACUACCCCAAUUGGACCAUGUUUACGAGUAUAAAAACGUUAUCGUGGCCUCUCUGGUGAUGUUGGGGGUCGUUUGGAUGGCUCUGGUGCUUGGGGCCCUUCUGGGGGCCUCAAUCUGCGGAGAUAAACAUACGUGUCUCCCGAUUUUUCAAAUGGGAUCGACAAUGCGGUCCAGGCAUUCAUUAUUUUAAUCUCACAUACAAAAAUUCUGAGAAUGAGAAUUAUUUUUUUUUAUUUUGUGAGAAUUUCGUUCUUGAAAAAAGAAAUUCCGAAAGAAAUCCUUUUUGUCAGACUCUGAUAUAAUACAGCCGCAACAACUGGCUCUUAACUGUUGAAAUUUCGAAAAUUCACUCUGACUCACCUUUCGUUCACUGAAUUAAGAACUAAAUAAUAAUAAUAAUAGUGGAGGAUUAUUGUACUUAAUUUUUGUA
Diachasmimorpha longicaudata is the source of this 1025-nucleotide RNA transcript. RefSeq lists it as uncharacterized. Lineage: Eukaryota; Metazoa; Arthropoda; Insecta; Hymenoptera; Braconidae. The record is from RefSeq and is a predicted model, not a curated record. The transcript is spliced from 2 exons.